This 253-nucleotide ribosomal RNA is filed under the name uncultured bacterium. RNAcentral describes it as "partial 16S ribosomal RNA". It matches the Rfam family "Bacterial small subunit ribosomal RNA", at positions 524 to 776 of the family's 1533-position model. The record is from RNAcentral.
UACGUAGGGCGCAAGCGUUGUCCGGAAUUAUUGGGCGUAAAGAGCUCGUAGGCGGCUUGUCACGUCGGGCGUGAAAGCCCGGGGCUUAACCCCGGGUCUGCAUUCGAUACGGGCAGGCUAGAGUGUGGUAGGGGAGAUCGGAAUUCCUGGUGUAGCGGUGAAAUGCGCAGAUAUCAGGAGGAACACCGGUGGCGAAGGCGGAUCUCUGGGCCGAUACUGACGCUGAGGAGCGAAAGCGUGGGGAGCGAACAGG